CCUGCAAAUAUAGAUACUGUGUUCAACUAAACAGUCCCAGGUUUCACACCAAGCAAGUAAAUUAAAACAAGAUCAGUAUAUUUUAAAACAUAUAUGGCAGUACUUCUCAAAAAUAUUACAUAUAAACAUGUAAAAAAUGUUCUGACGAAUAAUACCACUAGUAUAGUCAAAUAGCAGUUAACGGUCAUGAACUAGUUAAUAUUUUCUUUAUAUUUACCAUGUAUUAAAUAUAUAUUAAAAUAUACAUUAUAUAUAUAUUUUAGGGGGGGGGUCAGAGGCAGAGAGGAUGGGGGGGCAUGAAAACAUUUCUGUUCAAGGGAGGGGGCAUGACAAAAUAAUUGAGAACCGCUGCUUUUAGGCCACUUGUUUGGUGGUGCACCACAGGAAUUUUCAAAAUUAAGUAUUUGCUUAGCUCAAUAACAGGUUCGAAACACUCGUCUAAGCCUUACACUCUCACGACAUUGACCACAACAACUACACAGGAACAAUCUGUCGGAAUCUUUCUGUCACAAAAUAUGGAAAGGAGGCGCAAUUACUAGGUUUAUUUAUCAAACAGCUGCUCAGAUCCUUUGCAUUUGCUUAAGCACAUGUUUGGAUGUCUUGAAAGCUUCUGGUUCUAAUGCAACGCACUACUAAUUUCGUUUGGAUAUAAACGAUAACUAAGCUUGCUCUGUUCAGUUUGAAAACACUUAUGACGCCAAAAAGGACCAAGGCAUUAUUUACAAAUACGCAUUAGUCCCAGUGUGUAACUUUGAGGAUUGAUUAUUAGCAGGAACAUAAUAAACAAUAAGAAUUGCUGUGAUAUGAAUAUCGUGUGUUUGUUUGCUAAGGAUAGUAAUUGAAACUACAUUUAAAUUUUAGCAUUCGCAUUUCUCAGUAUGUUUACAGCCGAGCACUGCCAUUUUUAAUCCCACAAUAUUGUUCUUUGAAAAAUCCAACGAAAAGACUUGUACAGCGCUAUUGUUUUUUGUUAAGGUCAACAUUUAUCUUGACUUCACUGUGAAUCCUAUAUUCUGUCUGUCUUUAACAUCCUGUAAUUUUUAAAAUACUUCAUAUGCCAUAGAACUGGAAUAGAGAUUGAACAUACAAGUUUGACACUGUGACUUCAAUGUAAUUAUUCUGCUAUUGUUAAUAGUCAAACUGUACUGUUUUUCUUAGUCGAUUCAACCGGGUCAAAAUCCAUGUAAACCCAUUUUCUGUACUAACCACGUUACCAGCAGUAACAUGAUAACGCAAGGAGACAAGUUUUGCUUAAGUCUUCACAGACGGACGGAGAAGACACAUUAUUGUGCAUACGAUGGAAUAUUAUCCAAUUUCGUUUAUAUGGUCUGAUAAAUACUAUUUUCUAUCUCAUGUAAUUGUUUUUGUUUGUCUACACCACAGGCAUAACACUUAAAUACUCAACAGGUGGCUAUAAAAACAUUCAAAAAAGACUCGUCAACUUAUUUAAAAGCAUUAAAUAUGGCCUCAUAAAAACUUAAAUAAAAACCUCUUGUUUGAAAAUGACCUGAAAGAAAUACUCAUUGUGGAUCUUAAAACAGCCAUCUAAUUUAAAGUAUGCUCUCGCCUUUUAUUUACAUUUUAUAUACAUUUACUUUUCCCCGACAAAAAUUCUAGUCUAGUGUUCAGUUUGGUCAAUUUUCGCAUUACAUUUUUGACUAUUUUCUUACAACUUAAAAACGUCUGACCAUGUUUGUGCAAAAAAAAA
Cynoglossus semilaevis (tongue sole) is the source of this 1708-nucleotide long non-coding RNA. RefSeq lists it as uncharacterized. The transcript is spliced from 2 exons. NCBI's taxonomy places the organism in Eukaryota, Metazoa, Chordata, Actinopteri, Pleuronectiformes, Cynoglossidae. The record is from RefSeq and is a predicted model, not a curated record.